Molecule: long non-coding RNA, 811 nt
Organism: Lutra lutra (Eurasian river otter)
Lineage: Eukaryota; Metazoa; Chordata; Mammalia; Carnivora; Mustelidae
Exons: 5
Source: RefSeq, a predicted model, not a curated record
GGUGCUGCCGUCGCCGCCCGACCUGCGCCUUCGCGCCACUUCGCGCCCUCGGGCGAGGCCGAGGGGGUGGGGACGACCCCCGCCGCGUAGCCGCGGCUCGCGCCUCUCGCGAAGCCCCUUCGCGGGGCGGGCGGGCCGGCGGGCCGCACCCCCGGCCUGGGGCCUCCGGUCGUAGUAAAGCGGAGGCGGGUGGGGAGGCGGGAGCGUGAGCCCGCGGCGGGCGAGGCGAAGAUGGUGGCGGCUACUCCUCCUGUCAUACACGCGGACCUAACUGCACCAAAAGCUUUUCUUAAGGAUACUUGCUGAGAAGAAAGUUUUCCCUAGUGGAGCUUCAGAAACACUGCUAACAAAAAGAGAGCUGUUAAAGAUAGAGACUUAUUCCCUAAACCCAUUUCCGCCUGAAGAAUUUUUUCCAGCACUAGACCAUCUACAAGGUUGUCUGCUUUCAGUAUCUCUUUCCAGAGUGGCAACUUGUACCUAACACCUCAGGCAGAAGACAUGGACCUCCUUAUUCAUCAGGCCAAGCAAGCCUGGAAAAUUUUCCACCAAACCAACCAGGGAACUCUGGAAAUCUCUGGUGGGAGCCAAGAGGGUACAUCAGGUGUCAGUGUCUGUAGAGCGAGGCCAUCUGGUCUAGAAUGAAGCACACACCAGCACUUGGGAAACUGAGAAUACCCAUAACUUUCAUUAGCAACACUCCUGCAUGCAAAAAGGCCAUGCAGAACUAUAAUAUUCAUACAAUUCCAUUGUUACAGGUAACUUUUCAAAAUCAUAAAAAUAUUCUCAAACUCAGAAGCAUGUUUUAAAAAAU